ACUUUCAAAGGAUAAUAGCAAUCCAGUGGUCUUAGGAGCCAUUCAUCUUGGUGCAAAUCCAAGUGAAAGUA
This 71-nucleotide transfer RNA is filed under the name Coccothraustes coccothraustes (hawfinch). Its description in RNAcentral is "tRNA-Leu". It matches the Rfam family "tRNA". Rfam says of the family: Transfer RNA (tRNA) molecules are approximately 80 nucleotides in length. Their secondary structure includes four short double-helical elements and three loops (D, anti-codon, and T loops). The record is from RNAcentral. Lineage: Eukaryota; Metazoa; Chordata; Aves; Passeriformes; Fringillidae.